GACGAACGCUGGCGGCGUGCCUAAUACAUGCAAGUCGAGCGGAGUUAUCCCUUCGGGGAUAAUUUAGCGGCGGACGGGUGAGUAACACGUAGGCAACCUGCCUGCAAGACUGGGAUAACUACCGGAAACGGUAGCUAAUACCGGAUACACAAGAGAGUCGCAUGACUUUGUUGGGAAAGACGGAGCAAUCUGUCACUUGUGGAUGGGCCUGCGGCGCAUUAGCUAGUUGGUGAGGUAACGGCUCACCAAGGCGACGAUGCGUAGCCGACCUGAGAGGGUGAACGGCCACACUGGGACUGAGACACGGCCCAGACUCCUACGGGAGGCAGCAGUAGGGAAUCUUCCGCAAUGGACGAAAGUCUGACGGAGCAACGCCGCGUGAGUGAAGAAGGUUUUCGGAUCGUAAAGCUCUGUUGCCAGGGAAGAACGUUCGGUAGAGUAACUGCUACCGGAGUGACGGUACCUGAGAAGAAAGCCCCGGCUAACUACGUGCCAGCCGCCGCCGUAACAC
This 511-nucleotide ribosomal RNA is filed under the name uncultured bacterium. RNAcentral describes it as "bacterial SSU rRNA". It matches the Rfam family "Bacterial small subunit ribosomal RNA", at positions 28 to 526 of the family's 1533-position model. The record is from RNAcentral.